AACGCACCUUGCGCUCCUUGGUAUUCCGAGGAGCAUGCCUGUUUGAGUGUCAUUAAAUUCUCAACUCCGAUCGAUUUGUUUCGACCUCGGAGCUUGGACUUUGGAGUGUGCUGGCGUCGGUCGGCUCCUCUCAAAUGCAUCAGCGGAAUCUAACGUUUCGGACGUCAGUGUGGUAAUCACGUUGCGCUGUCAACCGAUCCUGAAAGGCCCGCUCAUAAUGGUCUUCGGACAACUUCAUAUCAAAUUUGACCUCAAAUCAGGUAGGACUACCCGCUGAACUUAA
Molecule: unclassified non-coding RNA, 283 nt
Filed under: uncultured fungus
Lineage: Eukaryota; Fungi
Description: sequence contains ITS2
Rfam family: 5.8S ribosomal RNA (bases 1-52)
Source: RNAcentral